GCUAUUUCCAGUCCUCUUUUUUCCUUGGUCUAUGUUACAUUAGAGGCACAGUUACAGAAUACAGCGUGUCACAGACAAGUUUUACUAUAAUUCUUCUGUUCCAAUUUUCAAUCACAGAUUAUUUUUAUUACAAUAAUAAAAUUAAAGUUUUUAGAAUUUUUUCAUAAAUUACCGAUAUUCUAAUUUCUAAAUAAAACUUAAUCUGAUAAUGUUCCGUAAAUUAAGAGAAGUGUACCGUCUGGAUAAACGGACAUAUAAAAAUUUUGGUCAUAAAAGGGAACCUGAACCAUUGUUUACAGUAUUGUGGCAUGGAUUUCUUACAUUUUCCUUUAUUGGCAUGGGGAUUGAAUGGAAACGAAUGUAUCGAUUUUUCUUUGAUGAAGAACCUGAAAGGAGUUCACUCACAGAUUUAGAAUAGAUAUUUGUAAUUAGGUAGGUCAAUCAAUAUUUAGUUGUCUAAAUAAUAUUGUAAAUAUAUGAAUAAAUUAUUUA
Molecule: long non-coding RNA, 492 nt
Organism: Pieris brassicae (large cabbage white)
Lineage: Eukaryota; Metazoa; Arthropoda; Insecta; Lepidoptera; Pieridae
Exons: 2
Source: RefSeq, a predicted model, not a curated record